CGAAGGCAAGCGGAUCUCUUAAAGCUGUUCUCAGUUCGGACUGCAGUCUGCAACUCGACUGCACGAAGCUGGAAUCGCUAGUAAUCGCGGAUCAGCACGCCGCGGUGAAUACGUUCCCGGGCCUUGUACACACCGCCCGUCACACCAUGGAAGUCUGCAAUGCCCGAAGCCGGUGGCCUAACCACUUAUGUGGAAGGGGCCGUCUAAGGUGAGGCUCGUGAUUGGGACUAAGUCGUAACAAGGUAUC
RNAcentral lists this ribosomal RNA (247 nucleotides) under uncultured bacterium. Its description in RNAcentral is "partial 16S ribosomal RNA". It matches the Rfam family "Bacterial small subunit ribosomal RNA", at positions 1258 to 1500 of the family's 1533-position model. The record is from RNAcentral.